CAAAAUUAAGAAAAUCCUGUUUUUCAUUUUUUUCAAUAUAUGUCCCAGUUACCAUGGAAACGAGGAUGCAAAUCCCCAACUUGCUGAAUUUUCAAAAAAGUAGGGGUGCAUGCCUAUUUUGUUAUCUGGAAAGUACUAGAAAGUGUCCUUUAUUUUCGUACUUGCAAAUUUUAAAGGCAAAUGAACAAGGUUUCAUACCAAACUAAUAUUUCCAAAUAUUUAUUUGAUUCUUGUAUGAUCUAGACUUUUAUCUGCAAGAAAAAAUAUAUUUAUGGAGCAAAACAUAUGUUUAUAUUGUGCUCUACAUCUUGAAAAGUGCACAGGUCUCAGCAGAAAAGUAUAUUUGUUUGUUUAAAGGGAAGAUGUUAUUUCAAAAAGAAACAUAAAUCGUAGUGGGUCAUUCAGACACAUUCUUGUAGAUUUGGGCCAAAGUUUAUGAUUUGGGGCAUUUUUCCUAUUUUUAUUACCUCCCCUUGAUGCUCUUCAUUUAGGAAAUCACAAAGAGCUUAUCUAAGUUUACUUCCUGGAUUAUGCUGAAUUCAGAUUUCUACUCGGAUUUUGCAAAUUUUUAGUAUAUAGAUACAAUGACAGUCAGAGAUUUUAUGCUAAAUGGGCAUGGGAUGCUUGGAUGUGUCCCUUCAAACCAAGUCCACGUUUAAAAUUUGCUGAAUAGCGACAUUGUUUGGGAAAAAUACAUCAGUCUGACAUCUGUGUGUUUAUUUCUAUAAGUGAAGUUUGUAUCAACUGACUGAAGGAUCAGUGUUAAAGGAUAACACUACAAUGAAAACAGCUGUGAGUUGUUUCUUUUGAAAAUGACUGCUUGAUGAUAAAGUUUCAAACAACUAUGAAGUGAGUGGAUGUUCUAGAGAGACUAAUUCUUCAAAGAAUGAAUGAUCAUCAUCAUGCUUAUAUUGGAAUAAAAGGAAGGAAGUGACAGCUACAGUCAGGGUAAAAGUAAAUGCAGUCAGAAGACCUCUGAUAUCACCUGAAGAGCCAGCCUUCUCAAGAUUCUGUAUCAAAUAAAAAUAACAAGGACUGCUAAAAA
This is a long non-coding RNA of Mercenaria mercenaria, 1045 nucleotides long. RefSeq lists it as uncharacterized. The transcript has 4 exons. NCBI's taxonomy places the organism in Eukaryota, Metazoa, Mollusca, Bivalvia, Venerida, Veneridae. The record is from RefSeq and is a predicted model, not a curated record.